GAUGAACGCUGGCGGCGUGCCUAAUACAUGCAAGUCGAGCGAACAGACGAGGAGCUUGCUCCUCUGACGUUAGCGGCGGACGGGUGAGUAACACGUGGAUAACCUACCUAUAAGACUGGGAUAACUUCGGGAAACCGGAGCUAAUACCGCAUAAUAUAUUGAACCGCAUGGUUCAAUAGUGAAAGACGGUUUUGCUGUCACUUAUAGAUGGAUCCGCGCCGCAUUAGCUAGUUGGUAAGGUAACGGCUUACCAAGGCAACGAUGCGUAGCCGACCUGAGAGGGGGAUCGGCCACACUGGAACUGAGACACGGUCCAGACUCCUACGGGAGGCAGCAGUAGGGAAUCUUCCGCAAUGGGCGAAAGCCUGACGGAGCAACGCCGCGUGAGUGAUGAAGGUCUUCGGAUCGUAAAACUCUGUUAUUAGGGAAGAACAAAUGUGUAAGUAACUAUGCACGUCUUGACGGUACCUAAUCAGAAAGCCACGGCUAACUACGUG
RNAcentral lists this ribosomal RNA (497 nucleotides) under uncultured bacterium. RNAcentral describes it as "partial 16S ribosomal RNA". It matches the Rfam family "Bacterial small subunit ribosomal RNA", at positions 28 to 507 of the family's 1533-position model. The record is from RNAcentral.